RNAcentral lists this transfer RNA (71 nucleotides) under Loxodonta africana (African savanna elephant). It matches the Rfam family "tRNA". Rfam says of the family: Transfer RNA (tRNA) molecules are approximately 80 nucleotides in length. The record is from Rfam by way of RNAcentral. Lineage: Eukaryota; Metazoa; Chordata; Mammalia; Proboscidea; Elephantidae.
ACACUGGUGGUUCAGUGGUAGAAUUCUUGCCUUCCAUGCAGGAGGCCCAGGUUCGAUUCACAACCAAUGCA